GACGAACGCUGGCGGCGUGCCUAAUACAUGCAAGUCGAACGCAGGGGGGACGGGUGAGGAAAACGUGGGUAACCUCCCAUCAGAGGGGAUAACACUUGGAAACAGGUGCUAAACCGCUACUGAUGGAUGGACCCGCGGGGCAUUAGCUAGUUGGUGGGGUAACGGCUCACCAAGGCCACGAUGCAUAGCCGGCCUGAGAGGGUGAUCGGCCACACUGGGACUGAGACACGGCCCAGACUCCUACGGGAGGCAGCAGUAGGGAAUCUUCGGCAAUGGACGAAAGUCUGACCGAGCAACGCCGCGUGAGUGAAGAAGGUUUUCGGGUCGUAAAGCACUGUCAUCAGGGAAGCGGUAUCUGACCAGGAAGCACCGGCUAACUCCGUGCCAGCAGCCGCGGUAAUAC
RNAcentral lists this ribosomal RNA (403 nucleotides) under uncultured bacterium. RNAcentral's name for it is "partial 16S ribosomal RNA". It matches the Rfam family "Bacterial small subunit ribosomal RNA", at positions 28 to 526 of the family's 1533-position model. The record is from RNAcentral.